Molecule: long non-coding RNA, 723 nt
Organism: Scylla paramamosain (green mud crab)
Lineage: Eukaryota; Metazoa; Arthropoda; Malacostraca; Decapoda; Portunidae
Exons: 3
Source: RefSeq, a predicted model, not a curated record
CUAAUACCUGCAUCUCACGGACUUCACCACGGACGAAUGUUUUGUUCCUCCGGUGCUGGGUUUUGUCCUGUGGCAGCCAACACGUCACAGGAGGGAUAGAUAGAGGCACGGACUGAGGACUGGAAACUGUCUAUGUAAUUGCUUACAUGAAGAGGUAUGCAAAUUACUUACACGUUGUCAGAUAUGGAGGAGAUAUGUGAAGGUGCGUUGCACAGCCUGCAUGGUGUUGCACGGAGCGUGGAGGGCGGCGACCUGUGGUAAUGCUGCAGCUGAGAGGAAGAGGAAGUGACGUGAUGCGAGGCUUCGAAAUGCCACCAAGGAAACCUGAUGAACUUGUAACGAGGAAAACAACGAAGGGAAAGAAAAAAAAAAAAAAAAAAACUAACUACUACUACUACUACUACUACUACUACUACUACUACUAUUAUCUCAGUCACUUACCAUCUUAUUUUCUAUUUUGUUUCAUCAUAUUUCAUCUGACACUCGGAAAACAAAAAGGGAAGACAGUUAUUUCAUUUUUCUCUUUAUUUUGUUAUUUUAUCUUGUCAUGCGAAAGAGAAGGGAGAGAAAAAAAAAUUGUUAUGUGCAAUUUUCUUUGUUCUAUUUCGUCUUGACACGAGAAUGAUCAUUAAGAAAAAAAAAGCUGCAAUGUUGUUUUAUACGUUUUAUUUUCAUAUUCUUAUUUUAUAACACCAGAAAAAAAAAAUAAAAAGUCAGUUAUCA